Molecule: long non-coding RNA, 918 nt
Organism: Cucumis sativus (cucumber)
Lineage: Eukaryota; Viridiplantae; Streptophyta; Magnoliopsida; Cucurbitales; Cucurbitaceae
Exons: 2
Source: RefSeq, a predicted model, not a curated record
CAGGAAUGGACGGUUGACAUCUUCUCCUAUUAUGUAUUUUAAUGUUUAAUAGAAACAAAAAUAUUUGGUUUGACGGAGGGAUUAUAUCAAAUUUAUCAAAUCCCAAUCCAUUGAGUUGGUAGCCUCUGACUUUUUUGUUUCCUUCUUUCUCUCACUUUAUUUCAAUCAUUUCGUUUUUCCAAUUAACUUUAAUUUAAUCCAUUGAAGUAUUCUCUUCUCCAUCAUUCUCUUUACAUUUUAACCGUUUCUCCUCACUUUUUCAUUCUUUUUUUCAUUUUUCAUGUUUUUGCCACUUUUUCUCUUCUCUUCUCUUCCUCUUUCAAUCUUCACUCUUCUUGGUUUCUCCUCUUCGCUACGUCUCUUCUUUCUGGUCCUUUUCGUCACUCCUUCAAUCUCCACCGUUCUUGGUUUCUCCUCUUCGCUACGUCUCUUCUCCUUAUCUUCUUCUCCCUCUUCCUCACCGUUCUUUUUCAGCUACGAAAGAUACAACUUGAUAAAUUGGGUUAGUUUUCACUCUUAAGGUCCCUGGUGGUGAUGGAAUGGAAGUAAAAGAGUAAGAAGGCGUUGAAUGAGAGGGAGAAAGAAGGGGAAGCAUUAGAUCAUAAGUUGAGUAUAACUUGGUGUACACAAACUAUUAAGUUUCAUUUACACUUUACACCCACUUUUUGUUAAAGUAACUGUCGUUCAAAAGUAUUUAUGGAACUAGGUAUUUGCUAAUUAUGUUCAAUAUACAAAUAGUAUGAGUAUUUUAACUUCCUUUUUUAAAAAAAAAGUAUAAAAAUAUUAUUAAACUUUCCAAAGUUCGUGACAUUUAUAACCUAAUCACUUACAAUUUCAUCUACAACUUGUCCUGUGGGCAUUCUUUAAAAGUAAAAGGUAUUAAUGAGACGUUUGAAAUUUUCAGGAAUAUUUUUUAAA